AUGGAUGGUUAGUUGACUCAGUUGUUUUUGGUUUUUUAAAUGUUUUAUUAGUACAUGUUUGUAGUUUGCAUGUAGCUUACAAUUAUUUUGGGGAGUAUGUACAUGUACACAAAACAACUAUUUUUGUUUUUUAAGCCCCCUCUCCUUCCCUCCCUCUCAAUAUCUCCUCCUCUAAUUUCCCCUUUUCCAUUUUUAUUCUGGUUGAUAUUUUUGAUCUUAGCUCAUGUUUAUGGCCUAUAAUGUUUACAUUCAUUGAGGUUAUUAGGUUCUUAUACAUAGUAUAUCUUUAUUCUACUUAUUUAUAGAGACAGAAGGAACCUCAAAGAUCAUCUAAUAUGUUAACCUGUUUAUUUUAAAAUGGGAAAAUUGAGACCAAAAGCAAGGAGUGACUUUAACAACUUCUCAAGGCCUAUCAGUGGCUGCACUGGAAUAAAUUCAAGCCCUUAUGCUGUUCCAUAAACUACAUGGAACAGCAUAAGGGCUUGAAUUUAUUCCAGUGCAGCCACUGAUAGGCCUUGAGAAGUUGUUAAAGUCACUCCUUGCUUUUGGUCUCAAUUUUACCAUUUUAAAGUAAACAGGUUAACAUACUAGAUGAUCUUUGAGGUUCCUUCUGGUCUCUACCCUUCUCUGAUUCUAAGAUAAGUCUGAGUUUGUGGCCCCUGAAGUAAUUCAUCAAAGAGAAGGAGAAUCUGAGUACUAUAGUCAGACUCUAGAGAAUAAAUCCAACUUUGACCUCUCCAGCUGCAUGAUAUCAAGGAAGAUACAUAAUUAACUUCUCUGUUCUGUUUCUUCAUCUGUAGAGAGGUUAUGUCGCUAAUAAUAGUAACUAUGCCCCAGGGUUAUUAUAGAAUAAAAUAAAUGUACAAAUUGCUUAGUGCAAUAUCUGGCAUACAGCAAGCACAUGACAGAGUUGGUGAUUAUUAACUUAAAUGAGAUCUAUUUUCAGAAAGAGUGGAUGUAUCCUAAGAACACUUACAUAGAGCACUUUCUGCAGGUAUGUGUCCAAGCACAACCUGAGCAUUUGGGAAAUGGCCUUAGACUGCCAAAGGCAGAGGUUACAAACUCAUGUGUGCCUCCUGAGUGACUUUUCUCAGGAUAGUGUCGUUGUUACUUAAUUUAAUUAGUUGUUAACAUUUGAAAAUCAGAGUACCCCAUUUCUGGCUUCUUUAAAAGCAAAUUGGAGGGCUGGGGAUUUAGCUCAGUGAAAGGUCCUGAGUUCAAUCCCCAGAACCUGAAAAAAAAAAAAAAAGGAAAUUGGAGUGUCUGGCAAUAGUAACCUUUCAUUCCUGGACAGCACCGACGAUCAGGGCUCCCCCUCAACGUUCACAUCACUUCCUG
This is a long non-coding RNA of Heterocephalus glaber (naked mole-rat), 1338 nucleotides long. The record is from Ensembl. NCBI's taxonomy places the organism in Eukaryota, Metazoa, Chordata, Mammalia, Rodentia, Bathyergidae.